UCGUUUUGACCAGUAAUAAGAGCAACCCGCACCUGGAAGGACGUGACAUUUUGUUCCACUACAGCUUCUGGAGAAAUUAAGCGCACGCGACCCUUAAAAACUUGGUCGGGGAAGGAAUCAGCGACAAUUUCCACCUGCUGUCCCUGUUUAAUUUGUCCAAUAUCGACUUCUGGGACUUGAGCAAGUACCUCUAAACCCCUGGCGAUCGCCACAAUCGAAGUUGAGGUAGCUGAUGCUGUACUGGAAGCCGAAGUUGUCGGUGUAACAAAAGCGCCUUCUGUGGCAUAUUUCUGCGUGACCACACCAGAAAAGGGAGCGCGGAUAAUAGUGUCUUCGAGCUUAACUUGCACGGCCUUCAC
This 359-nucleotide unclassified non-coding RNA is filed under the name plant metagenome. Its description in RNAcentral is "partial contains 5.8S ribosomal RNA, internal transcribed spacer 2, and large subunit ribosomal RNA". The record is from RNAcentral.